CAAAUGAGUUAGGGUUUUGGGAAGAGGCUGAAGGUGUGGGAGAGGAGGAGGUCCCUGGCAGCAGCACUGAAAUCGCAGGCAAGAACAAUUAUUCUUGUUUGGUGAAGACUAGAAGUGAUGCUUGUUUCCUAGAAAAAGGAGCUAUUCUGCUGUCCCCAAGCCGGACCAAGCCUGCAGUAAGGCUCACUGCAGGGAGCACGUGGCCAGCGGCUCCGACUUCGGCAGACCUUCGCGUGUGUAAGUGCAUU
Molecule: long non-coding RNA, 248 nt
Filed under: Dromaius novaehollandiae (emu)
Lineage: Eukaryota; Metazoa; Chordata; Aves; Casuariiformes; Dromaiidae
Description: lncRNA (ENSDNVG00000000897.1)
Source: RNAcentral